Aedes albopictus (Asian tiger mosquito) is the source of this 58-nucleotide non-coding RNA. Lineage: Eukaryota; Metazoa; Arthropoda; Insecta; Diptera; Culicidae. The record is from Rfam.
UAGCCUAGUGGUUAAGGCUAUGGAUCGCCUAUCCGGAGACGGCGGGUUCGAUUCCCGC